CCACGUAAAUCUCGGUGUGAUUUUUAUUUUUCGCAUUUAUUUUUAUCGCAUUGAGAUUUGUGGUUUUUGGCCAUUACACCUAUUCACCCCACUCUAGAUGUUAGAUACAAUCUAGAUCGAUCAUUGGGCUCCCUCAAAACUUAUAAUUGGUACCAGAGAGGAAUCUAGAUAAAUUGAUAUCUAAUGGUCGAAGGCGGUAACAUUAAUCGACCACCUCUCUUCGAUGGUACGAAUUAUGCCUAUUGGAAAGUUUGCAUGAGAGCUUAUUUAAUUGCAAUCGAUGAGCGGGUAUGGCAAGCAAUCGAAUUCGGUUGGAAGCAUCCUACCGAAGUCGUCGAUAAUGCUACCGUUCCUAAACCGCGAAACAAGUGGACGAAAGAUAAAAACGAGUCAUCUUCGUUUAAUGGCAAGGGCAUAAACGCUUUUUUUAAUGCAUUGUCACAAACGGAGUUCACUCACGUUUCGACGUGUAAUACCGCCGAGGAAAUUUGGGAUACUCUACAAGUUACGCAUGAAGGAACUAGCUUAGUAAAGGUUCAAAAAUUACAAAUAUUAACAAGUAAAUUUGACUCGAUUUUUAUGGAAGAAAACGAGACCUUUACCAAGUACUAUACGCGUCUACAAGACAUUGUUAAUACAUGUGCGAACUUGGGAGAGAAAAUCCCGAAUGCUAAAGUUGUUAGAAAAAUUCUUCGGACUCUUAGCAAAAGUUGCCGCAAUCGAAACAGUAAAGCAUCCGGACGAGAUGAAAAUCGAAGAGUUAGUAGGUGCUUUGCAAACUUAUGAGAUGACUUUCCUACUAACCAAUCUUCUUCCAAGUCUUUUUCUAAAAGUACAGGGAUUGCACUCAAAUCUACAAAGGAAGAAGACGAUGACUCGGAUCCUGACGGAGAUAUUUCGCUCGUUGAUUUUGAAAAUCAACUGACGCUCUUAACGAAGAAAUUUCGACGGAACUUUCGGAAAAACAAAGCUUCAUCCUUGAAACAAAAUUUGUUUUCUAAACAAUUUUCGAGUUCUAAAUUGAAUGACAAAAAACUUGCAAAACCUUCUAAAGAAAAAAAUGAUUUUGAAGGGGAAAUCCAAUGUUACAAAUGUAAAGGCUACGGCCAUAUUUCCACGGAUUGUCCUUCUAAAAGAUCUUACAAACAAAAGGCUUUACAAGCGAAAACUUGGGACGAUUCUCCUUCUGACGAAUCGACCUCAAGUGAAAAGGAGAAAAUUAAUGUUGCUUUAAGCUCUCAAACCUCUAUACCUCCCUCUUCGACUUUUUGUUUAUCUUUAAUUAUUUCUGACUCUUUUGUUUCCCCUUCCUUGCAUGAAACGUCGAGCGAUGAUGGCCAGAGUGAGGGGGAGUCGGAUGAUAAAAGCUUGGCCGAGGCAUACCAACAACUUCUCGAGGAAUCAAAGAAGAUGACCAAGCACAACAAAAGGCUAAGAAAACGACUACUUGAGCUUGAAGAUAAGAAAACUGACUUGAAGAAUGCAUCUAAAACUCUUGAGGAGGAAAGGGAGCAAGUAUUGAAUAAUAAUACAAUUCUCCAAGAGAAGCUCAACCAAUCGGAGAUAACGAUCAAAUCACAUCAAGAAAAGGUUGGUUUUCUAGAACAACAAUAUGAAGAAAUUCGUUCAUCCAAUCAAGUUUUGACCAAACAAGUUUAUCAACUUAAAUCCGACAUUCAAAUGUUUUCCCCGGUUCGAAAAAUCUAGACCAUAUGCUCGGAUUGGGUCAAACGGAUAAACUUGGGCUUGGUUACGAAAGGACUUAUGUUGAGAAUGAUCAAAAGGCAAUUCAUAAAGUCUCAGCAAAUUUGAAAUAGAAAAUUUGCCAUAGAUGUGGUUGCAAAGGACACAUAAAGAAAUAUCAACCGGCAUUGUCUAAGCAUCUAUCGGCAUCUUCCAAUACUUGAUUUCCCCCACGGAUUCCAAAACAACAUCAAUCGAGUCGCGCACCUCCGAUCAACCAAAAGUCAAAACAAUCGGUACACAACUACAACAAAUCAAGACAACCGAUAAUCCAACAAGUUUGGAUUCGAAAAGGUGAUAUCUUUCCUUGUCUUAAGUCUUAAUUUGUAUUUGACUUUAUGUUUUGCUAUGAUCGGUUUUAGUGCAUAUCUAUUGAUCAUUGCAUUACAUGUGCUUCAGAUUUUUUUCUGGAUCAUUUCGUGAUUAAACAUUAAAUAAUGUGUUGAACGUCGAUAAUUUACAUUCAUUCGUUUUGAACUAAUUUCAUAUUAAUUAUCGGUUUCACUUUAUUAUUACUAUUUAUGAAGAUAAUUUAUAAUAGAAUAUCUUAAUUCUUAUAUUCAUCAAAUUUGAGUAAUCAUGUGUGAUCUUUCGGCACUUAACUUAUCUCGGUUGUAUGUGUUGAAUUUGAUGAAUGAAAAUUUGCUAAUCGACUAAAACUUGUCAAAUUUUCUUUCAUAUAAGAGAUUGCAUAAUUAAGGGGGAGUCAUGUAUAAAAAUAUAAUAAAAAGGAGAAGAAAUACUCAUAUGCGUAAAAGAUGUGGAAAAAGUUACAUCCUAAAGGGAGUGUGAAAACUACCACCACAUGUAGGAAAGAUCUACCAUCUCGGUCAUUCGGUAAAUGUGUGAAGUUACCACAUGAAAUUCUACUGCAUAACCGAAAGGUUGAAAAAAAUGUUCAUAUUAUAUAAAGAGUUUUCGGUGUAAUAAGGUGGUUUAGUAAAAAGAUGCUCAAAGAGCCACCCCUGGUACAUUAUUGCUUGAUCUCGAAUUUGAACGUUUAUACGACAAAUUUCUGUCAUUUGGUGAAUCUUCAUAAGUCAUCUUUAUAAUCCGUUACAUCUUGAUAGAUUUUGAGUCUUUAGAUUAUUUUUGAUGACUUGAUUUUGAAGUAUAUAUCGAUAAAGAAAUUUUAGUAUAUUUUACCUACAUCUUGGUGAUCUUGUAGUGAAAUUCUUAAUUUCUAUGAAAUUGAUGUGGAUUGAAUGAAGUCUAUGUGAAUUUAUCCUAUUCAUGCACUAACAUUAUUAGUACUCUCUCUAUUUUGGUACUUUCUUUUGGCAAUUUUUGACAAAAAGGGGGAGAGAGAUAAGAUUUUAGAUUUUUAUGAAAAUGAAUGAAUUUCAAUUUUUAUUGAUCAUUAGACGCAUGAACAAAGGGGAAGAGAUUUUCAUUUUUUUUAACUAACUUUGUUCAAGGAGAAAGUAUUCUUUCUGCAGAUUCUUGAAAACUUCAAGACUCCUUGUGUUUAAGUCAUAGAGUUUGUUUAGGAGUUGCAAAAUUGUAAUUUUGUAUUUUCUUUGGAUUUUUCACUCGAGAAGUUCAUUGUUUUGGUGAUGGAACUGAAUUUUAUUUUGUUUAUUGGUUGGAGAGUUGAGCGUUGUGAGUAUUUUGAUGUAUUUUUGAGUUUUGUCACGAAAUUGCCAAAGGGGCAGAUUGUUACGGAUUUUAUGUUGACAUAAUUCGUGAAGUAAGUCGGAGUCUUGAAAGUUUGAAGAAGAAGAGAUGAAGAUCGAAGACUCGAAGACUCAAAACAUGAAUGCACAAUGCUCGAAUCCUUUCACUUGUAGGCUUUGGAGAAGGAUUAAAGGUGGAAAACUUGGUGGUUUGGUGGAAAAUAGGCUCAAGAACAAGGAGGGUCUUGUGGAGCAAGAAGCUAAGGAAUGGAGAUCCAAUAUGAGUUUGAUCUCUCAUAUUUCUAAUUGAAGGUUAAACCGACGCAUUGGGAGGCUCGGAUCGACGUUCCGAAGAGUCGACGGCAAGUUAUUGAUGAAAAUCCUUAUUUUACUUUCAUUGUCGUGGGUUGAGAGGAGUAGAUGUCUAAAAAUUGCGGGACUUGAUUUCUCGCACUCUGGCAUCUCUACGAGGUGGUGGUGCUAUCCGAAGUCUUCAAAUGACCUAUUAUGUUUUUGUCA
Molecule: long non-coding RNA, 3878 nt
Organism: Ananas comosus (pineapple)
Lineage: Eukaryota; Viridiplantae; Streptophyta; Magnoliopsida; Poales; Bromeliaceae
Exons: 3
Source: RefSeq, a predicted model, not a curated record